CGCAAGAAUUGCUAAGUGAAUUAAAUAUUGCGGGCCAUUUAUUGGAAAUAUUUAAUGAGUGUGGAGUUGAUUUGACGGAUUUGUUGACGAUUACGGCGGAUCAAAUCCGCACAUCCUUGGAACCCACACAAAUCAAGUGGAGGUAUUCGGUUCUCUACGAAUUAAUUUCGUCCUGGCGAACACGAAACGUAAGCCAAUAAUUAUACUACAAAUAUAUUAUUCUUACUAAUAUGUUGCUUCUUUUUUAUGUUUUUUACAGGAAUCAAAAAUCAACGAUUUAGUAGUCCAGCUACAACCGGGCUACCGUUUGUGCCUUACGGGGAAUGUUUUUUACGACGGAACUUCCCUUGGGUCUAACAAAACCUCAGCAGGAACGAGCACCAGCAGCGAUCCGGCCAACCAAGCCUCUUCCAAUAGCAGCUCGGGACCAAUUGCGGCGAGUCCCGUAAUAAUAUCAUCGGCAUGUGAUACGACCGCUACCACUACAGUUGAUCAGGUUACGUCGGUGGAAAUCAGAGAGCAUCAGUGUAAACGCGAAGAGCAAACCCAAGAAGAACCGGCUAAACAGGGAUUCACCGGAGAGGCAAAUAUUGUCCCGUUAUUUGCUGAAUUCACCGAUGAAGUAAAAAAAUGUUUACCUAUAGUAGAGGUUUUAAAGAUUGACUUGUUUGAUAGCUUCCCAGUAUCAGUGCAUAAAAUUAGUGAUAAGUCGUAUUUUAGAGUGAAGAACAGUUUCAAUGACUAAUGUAUGUGCAAGGUAAUUCAAUAAAUAAAUAUAGAUGUUUAUGUAUGUUGUAAGAGUUACUUUGAACGUUUAUUUCAAUAUUUGCAUUAUUGCCCUUCUAUGGACAAUAAUGU
Aedes aegypti (yellow fever mosquito) is the source of this 858-nucleotide long non-coding RNA. RefSeq lists it as uncharacterized. The transcript is spliced from 3 exons. NCBI's taxonomy places the organism in Eukaryota, Metazoa, Arthropoda, Insecta, Diptera, Culicidae. The record is from RefSeq and is a predicted model, not a curated record.